GACGAACGCUGGCGGCGUGCUUAACACAUGCAAGUCGAACGGUGAAGGGACCAGCUUGCUGGUUCUGGAUGAGUGGCGAACGGGUGAGUAACACGUGAGUAACCUGCCCCCUUCUUCUGGAUAACCGCAUGAAAGUGUGGCUAAUACGGGAUAUUCUGGGUCUGUCGCAUGAUGGGCCCGGGAAGGAUGCGCCUUUGGGUGUUUUUGGUGGGGGAUGGGCUCGCGGCCUAUCAGCUUGUUGGUGGGGUGAUGGCCUACCAAGGCGGUGACGGGUAGCCGGCCUGAGAGGGUGGACGGUCAUACUGGGACUGAGACACGGCCCAGACUCCUACGGGAGGCAGCAGUGGGGAAUAUUGCACAAUGGGCGCAAGCCUGAUGCAGCGACGCCGCGUGAGGGAUGGAGGCCUUCGGGUUGUAAACCUCUUUCGCCAGUGAAGCAGGCCUGCUCCUUGUGGGUGGGUUGACGGUAGCUGGAUAAGAAGCGCCGGCUAACUACGUGCCAGCAGCCGCGGUAAUACGUAGGGCGCGAGCGUUGUCCGGAAUUAUUGGGCGUAAAGAGCUCGUAGGCGGCUGGUCGCGUCUGUCGUGAAAUCCUCUGGCUUAACUGGGGGCUUGCGGUGGGUACGGGCCGGCUUGAGUGCGGUAGGGGAGACUGGAACUCCUGGUGUAGCGGUGGAAUGCGCAGAUAUCAGGAAGAACACCGGUGGCGAAGGCGGGUCUCUGGGCCGUUACUGACGCUGAGGAGCGAAAGCGUGGGGAGCGAACAGG
RNAcentral lists this ribosomal RNA (768 nucleotides) under uncultured Actinomyces sp. Its description in RNAcentral is "bacterial SSU rRNA". It matches the Rfam family "Bacterial small subunit ribosomal RNA", at positions 28 to 776 of the family's 1533-position model. Lineage: Bacteria; Bacillati; Actinomycetota; Actinomycetes; Actinomycetales; Actinomycetaceae. The record is from RNAcentral.